This is a non-coding RNA of Ixodes scapularis (black-legged tick), 73 nucleotides long. NCBI's taxonomy places the organism in Eukaryota, Metazoa, Arthropoda, Arachnida, Ixodida, Ixodidae. The record is from Rfam.
GUGCUUGUUGUGUAGUGGUUAUCACAUCCGCCUAACACGCGGAAGGUCCCAGGUUCGAUCCCUGGCAGGCACA